CGUGUAGGCGGACCAGCAAGUCAGGUGUGAAAUCCCUGGGCUCAACCUAGGAACUGCAUCUGAAACUGCCGGUCUUGAGUGUCGGAGAGGGAAGCGGAAUUCCGGGUGUAGAGGUGAAAUUCGUAGAUAUCCGGAGGAACACCGGUGGCGAAGGCGGCUUCCUGGACGAUUACUGACGCUGAGACGCGAAAGCGUGGGGAGCAAACA
Molecule: ribosomal RNA, 207 nt
Filed under: uncultured bacterium
Lineage: Bacteria
Description: partial 16S ribosomal RNA
Rfam family: Bacterial small subunit ribosomal RNA
Source: RNAcentral